Molecule: ribosomal RNA, 414 nt
Filed under: uncultured bacterium
Lineage: Bacteria
Description: bacterial SSU rRNA
Rfam family: Bacterial small subunit ribosomal RNA
Source: RNAcentral
GGAAUAUUGGACAAUGGGCGAAAGCCUGAUCCAGCCAUGCCGCGUGAAGGAUGAAGGCCUUCUGGGUUGUAAACUUCUUUUAUUGGGGAAGAAAAUUAUGGUUUCUACUAUAACCGACGGUACCCAAGGAAUCAGCACCGGCUAACUCCGUGCCAGCAGCCGCGGUAAUACGGAGGGUGCAAGCGUUAUCCGGAUUCACUGGGUUUAAAGGGUGUGUAGGCGGAUAUUUAAGUCAGUGGUGAAAUCUCCGGGCUCAACCCGGAAACUGCCAUUGAUACUAUUUAUCUUGAAUCUUGUUGAGGUAGGCGGAAUAUAUCAUGUAGCGGUGAAAUGCUUAGAUAUGAUAUAGAACACCGAUUGCGAAGGCAGCUUACUAAACAAGCAUUGACGCUGAGGCACGAAAGCGUGGGGAUC